GUAUCUCUCUUGGCCUAAAAUUGUUUUUUUAUUUUGAAACUAAAAGUUUCUCGAAACUCAGUUUCUUCAUUUAAAAUGUCAAUAGAAGAUUACAAUUUAAAACAUCUAUUCAUGCUGACAGAUUUGGAUAGCUAUGUGAACAGUGGAAUAUAAAUAUUGCCCGUGUAAAACGUUAAGCAUUGCCCCAUAAACAAAUUUUAACAAACAAAAGAGUGAGAUAGAGGUAUUUUGUUUUUGCCGUAUUUUCUGUUUCGUUAUCCUAAACAGAUUUAGUUGACAGCUUAAAGUUUAAAACAAAUUUCCUUAGAAAUCAAAUAAAGUCCAAUUCUUCAUAAAAGUUAGAGAAAACUACAAAAUAUUUUCUAAAUUGCACAAAUUAACUUUCAAAUAAAAAUAUCCCCGAAAUGUCUGCUGAAAAAAGUAAACCAAAAGGAGAUUUGGGGCUCUUAGAGGAAGAUGAUGAAUUCGAAGAGUUUCCAGCGGAAGAUUUUAAUAUUGCCGAAGAAGAUGAUAGUGCAGUUAAUGUAUGGGAAGACAAUUGGGAUGAUGAUAAUAUAGAAGAUGAUUUUAAUCAGCAGCUAAAAGCCCAUUUAGAAAAACAAAUGGAAUCUUAAAAUGUCGAUAUCGUAUAUUUAAAUAAAUUUUGUUAAUAAAGUAUUUAUAAUUUAUAA
Molecule: long non-coding RNA, 671 nt
Organism: Eupeodes corollae
Lineage: Eukaryota; Metazoa; Arthropoda; Insecta; Diptera; Syrphidae
Exons: 2
Source: RefSeq, a predicted model, not a curated record